This 230-nucleotide unclassified non-coding RNA is filed under the name plant metagenome. Its description in RNAcentral is "partial contains small subunit ribosomal RNA, internal transcribed spacer 1, and 5.8S ribosomal RNA". The record is from RNAcentral.
UCUCCGUAGGUGAACCUGCGGAGGGAUCAUUACAGAGUUCAUGCCCUCCGGGUAGAUCUCCCACCCAUUGCUAUAACUACUCUCGUUGCUUUGGCGGGCCGCUGGGCCCUGCCCGGCCGCCGGCCCCGGCUGGCGCGUGCCCGCCAGAGACCUCACAGACUCUGAAUGUUAGUGUCGUCCGAGUAACUAUACAAUCGUUAAAACUUUCAACAACGGAUCUCUUGGUUCUG